UUACUUCUGGACUUCGUAAAAGAUUUAGUAUGCAUUUCUAUCCACACCCAUCUCUUCCCCCCACUUUUAACCCCCACAGGAAGAGGAUUAGACUGUAAGGCACGACUGUCCAAUCCGUAGCCCUCCAGACUAUUUUGGACUACAGUCACCAUCAGGCCUAUUCAGCAUGGCUAAUGGUGAGGGAUGGUGGGAGCUGUGGACCAACUUCAUCUACAAAGCCAUGAGUUGUCCAUCUUUCUUCUAAAGCCAUGACCAUAUAGAUGGUCUUCUGGAACAAAGAGCAUUAUCUUGUAAAUCAAGACUGAUCUGAAAUACUACUCCAACCACCACCCUCUUCGUCGCCAUACUUGGUCACAAUGGUGGGCUUGUCUGAAACUGGAGGUGUGGCCUCUUUCCAUGUGAGUGAUCAGUCCUCCUCCCUAUUGCUUUGUUGCCUAAAUACUGACCACGGCAUCUGCAGCAGAGUACAGAAUAUGCCACCGUCGCUGCCUAUGUGUCUUGUGAAUGGAGGUGUCCAUUGCUGAAUCAACCUAACAGGCAGGGUCUGGAAAAGUUACUCUUUUGGACCACAACGCUGACAGUUCCUACCACCUGGGGAUUGUGGGAGUUGUAGUCCCACCUGCAAACCCUUCUGAAGCUCUGCUAACCAGCUACUUGUGCUAACAUGCAUUCCUGACAGACAGCGCUUUGUAAUAAAACAUGUGGUCUGAUUGUUCCUUUAAAUGAA
Molecule: long non-coding RNA, 727 nt
Filed under: Pogona vitticeps (central bearded dragon)
Lineage: Eukaryota; Metazoa; Chordata; Lepidosauria; Squamata; Agamidae
Description: lncRNA (ENSPVIG00000004603.1)
Source: RNAcentral